Molecule: ribosomal RNA, 222 nt
Filed under: uncultured bacterium
Lineage: Bacteria
Description: partial 16S ribosomal RNA
Rfam family: Bacterial small subunit ribosomal RNA
Source: RNAcentral
UACAGAGGUCUCGAGCGUUAGGCGGAAUCACUGGGCUUAAAGGGUGUGUAGGCGGGCAUUUAAGUCUGGGGUGAAAUCUCCGAGCUCAACUCGGAAACUGCCUUGGAUACUAUUUGUCUUGAAUUAUGUUGAGGUUGGCGGAAUAUAACAUGUAGCGGUGAAAUGCAUAGAUAUGUUAUAGAACACCGAUUGCGAAGGCAGCUAACUAAGCAUAUAUUGACG